CGAAAAGAAAAACCUGUAGCCAAUGCAUCUAAUUUUACUACUGAAGAAUGGAAAAAAAUAAAUGAUGACUUGACGAAUAAAGCUGUAAAAACAGAGAAAAAGAAGAAAAAUAUACCAAGAGACUACAAAGAAUGGGAUAAGUUUGAUGUUGAAAAAGAAUGUUCCAAAAUUGAGGACCAGGAAGAUGAUUACUCUAAAACCAGCAUUAACAAUAACAUAAAAUUACCAAAAGCAGAAAUAGACACAACAGGUA
Molecule: long non-coding RNA, 253 nt
Filed under: Notechis scutatus (mainland tiger snake)
Lineage: Eukaryota; Metazoa; Chordata; Lepidosauria; Squamata; Elapidae
Description: lncRNA (ENSNSUG00000012480.1)
Source: RNAcentral